This 84-nucleotide non-coding RNA is filed under the name Chloroflexota bacterium. Its description in RNAcentral is "Chloroflexi bacterium c-di-GMP sequence". It matches the Rfam family "c-di-GMP-II-GAG riboswitch aptamer". Lineage: Bacteria; Bacillati; Chloroflexota. The record is from RNAcentral.
UUCUUCGCGGGAGGCGAUGACGCGCGGUCCUCACUCGGCCGCCGGGCCCGCGCCGAGCCACUGGCGAGACCGGCCCGCCCGCUG